This 464-nucleotide ribosomal RNA is filed under the name uncultured Methylococcaceae bacterium. RNAcentral describes it as "bacterial SSU rRNA". It matches the Rfam family "Bacterial small subunit ribosomal RNA", at positions 338 to 795 of the family's 1533-position model. Lineage: Bacteria; Pseudomonadati; Pseudomonadota; Gammaproteobacteria; Methylococcales; Methylococcaceae. The record is from RNAcentral.
CCUACGGGAGGCUGCAGUGGGGAAUAUUGGACAAUGGGCGCAAGCCUGAUCCAGCAAUACCGCGUGUGUGAAGAAGGCCUUAGGGUUGUAAAGCACUUUCAAUGGGGAGGAAUACCUGGCGGUUAAUACCUGUCAGACUGACAUUACCCAUACAAGAAGCACCGGCUAACUCCGUGCCAGCAGCCGCGGUAAUACGGAGGGUGCAAGCGUUAAUCGGAAUUACUGGGCGUAAAGCGUGCGUAGGCGGUUCGUUAAGUCAGAUGUGAAAGCCCCGGGCUUAACCUGGGAACUGCAUUUGAAACUGGCGGACUAGAGUUGAGUAGAGGGGAGUGGAAUUUCAGGUGUAGCGGUGAAAUGCGUAGAUAUCUGAAGGAACACCAGUGGCGAAGGCGACUCCCUGGACUCAAACUGACGCUGAGGUACGAAAGCGUGGGUAGCAAACAGGAUUAGAUACCCUUGUAGUC